AAGGGCACCACAAGAACGCGUGGAGCAUGUGGCUUAAUUUGACUCAACGCGGGAAAUCUUACCGGGUCCGGACACACUGAGGAUUGACAGGCGCUGGCAGUGGUGUUUGCUGUGGGCUUGCCCCGCAGCCGCCAAUGCUUUCAAAUAUGCUAGUCCUUUCAUGAUUGUGUGAUAGGUGGUGCAUGGCCGUUCUUAGUUCGUGGAGUGAUCUGUCUGCUUAAUUGCGUUUCACAAGGGACUUGCAUGGCAUACGUUGGGGCACGGUGCCUCCUGCCGUCUGCCCUUCGGGGCCGGAGGAGUGUCGCGCCUGCCUUUCAACAGCCAACAGUCCGAAGGCAACGAACGUGACCGCAGCCUCUUGUUACCUCUCUGUUUUCCACUUCNGUGUGGUUCUGCUGCCAGGGUUGUGUGCAGUUUCGGCUGUGUGCUGCCCUGCAGUGAACUGUCUCCGUUGAGAGAGGUAAACUAGAGGGACCGCCGACGUUUUCAAACCGGAGGAAGGUUGCGGCAAUAACAGGUCUGUGAUGCCCUUAGAUGUUCCGGGCUGCACACGUGCUACAAUGAUUAUUGCAGUGAGCAUCUUCACAAGUUCGUGGGAUGUCUGUGCCUUGGCCAUUUUGCUCAGUCUGGUGCGGUAAUCCGGUUGCGGAGGGCUCAGACGGCUGGGGGGCCCUCACGGGUUUCUUGGUCGAAUGGGUUCUCAAUCGUGCUGGAGACCCGCGCUGCUGGUUUUGGCCUUGGCGCGCAUCCGUUAUCACGACACGCCUGCUUCGAAAGUAAGCAGGUAAUCAAUUCGAAGUAAUGAUUUCCAUCCGCACUCAUCAGCGCUGGUGGGAUGACCGGCCCUCGCGGCCGUGUCUUUACACCGGUGCGUGCUCCAUAACUUCGUGGUGGGGACAGACCCUUGUAAAUUGUUGGUCUCGGUCUCAACUAGGAAUGCCUUGUACGGGUCUUGGUUCAACAAACCACCCGGAAUACGUCCCUGCCCUUUGUACACACCGCCCGUC
RNAcentral lists this ribosomal RNA (1007 nucleotides) under Monothalamids sp. RNAcentral describes it as "SSU rRNA". It matches the Rfam family "Eukaryotic small subunit ribosomal RNA", at positions 1160 to 1677 of the family's 1831-position model. Lineage: Eukaryota; Foraminifera. The record is from RNAcentral.